Molecule: long non-coding RNA, 470 nt
Organism: Limulus polyphemus (Atlantic horseshoe crab)
Lineage: Eukaryota; Metazoa; Arthropoda; Merostomata; Xiphosura; Limulidae
Exons: 3
Source: RefSeq, a predicted model, not a curated record
CUCGUGUAGCUUUGCGCGAAAACCCAAACAAACAAACAUGAAAACCUGAACAAGAACCGGUGACAAGAUGAUUAUCCUCUAACCAUGGCUGUCACCUGUAUCAUGAUGGAUGACAGAUACUUCUGGUACAGGGAAGGAAGGGAUAGGUCGACACGUGACUUAAGGCAUGUGUACUCUCAACCCCAAAGGUUCUGUCGUGUAUUAACAUUACAAUUUUCUGUACUAUAAUUAUAGUUGAAGCAGAGAAGAAGAAAAAGAUACAGGCUUGAAUGACUUUAUUUUCGGUUGAUAAAGACCGUAGAAUUUUUAUUUAUAAAGAAGAGACUAAGGAAUAAUCGUGAAUAACAAGUAGAUGAAACUACAACGUGACAAAAUCUGAAAAAUACAAAAAAAAAUGUUAAACUCGCAAUAAGGAAAAAAAUUAUGGUCAACGUCUCGAUCAAAUAAAGCCUUUGACCAAAAAACAACUC